Molecule: ribosomal RNA, 582 nt
Filed under: Ctenisodes sp. CUSB94
Lineage: Eukaryota; Metazoa; Arthropoda; Insecta; Coleoptera; Staphylinidae
Description: partial large subunit ribosomal RNA
Rfam family: Eukaryotic large subunit ribosomal RNA
Source: RNAcentral
CGAACAAAGUACCGUGAGGGAAAGUUGAAAAGAACUUUGAAGAGAGAGUUCAAUAGUUCGUGAAACUGUUCAGGUGUAAGCUCGAGUAAGCCGAUGUAUUCGAAAAGAGGAAGUCAGCGUCGUGGCAAUUCUAAUUACUGGCAAGGUAGUUUUGAACUGUUAGCGUGCAUUUUCUUCUUAGUAGAACGCCGUACCGGCUACCGGCUUGCUUAAACUCCUACGUUUAGUUCGCGAAUAGUAGCAAUACUUUUGCGAGACGAAGGUGCUUUUAUAAUGCCGGUGGCCGAGACGUAUUGAAAACGAUGGAACCAACUCUUUGCGUGUACUCGUAAAGCGGACCUUCGUUCUUACGGCGCUGAUGUUUCGGCAAACUUGAGACCCGUCUUGAAACACGGACCAAGGAGUCUAGCAUGUAACCAAGUUUUUCGGCGUAAAACCCGAAGAGCGUAGUGAAAGCGUUUGCCGCGUCGUUUCGCACGGCGUGUUUUAUUGCAUUUGCAGAGAUGAUGGUAGCUUUAAUCGGCUGCCCGCAAUCUCGGGAUGGUCUCGUUUUCGAUUCGUCGAAUGAGCCAUACUCGUAGG